GACGAACGCUGGCGGCGUGCUUAACACAUGCAAGUCGAGCGGUAAGGCCCCUUCGGGGGUACACGAGCGGCGAACGGGUGAGUAACACGUGAGCAAUCUGCCCUUCACUUUGGGAUAACUCUGGGAAACAAGAGCUAAUACCGAAUACGACCACUUCAGGCAUCUGAUGGUGGUGGAAAGUUCCGGCGGUGAAGGAUGAGCUCGCGGCCUAUCAGCUAGUUGGUGGAGUAACGGCCCACCAAGGCUUCGACGGGUAGCCGGCCUGAGAGGGUGACCGGCCACACUGGGACUGAGACACGGCCCAGACUCCUACGGGAGGCAGCAGUGGGGAAUAUUGGACAAUGGGCGAAAGCCUGAUCCAGCAACGCCGCGUGAGGGAUGACGGCCUUCGGGUUGUAAACCUCUUUCAGUAGGGACGAAGCGCAAGUGACGGUACCUACAGAAGAAGCACCGGCCAACUACGUG
This 465-nucleotide ribosomal RNA is filed under the name uncultured bacterium. Its description in RNAcentral is "bacterial SSU rRNA". It matches the Rfam family "Bacterial small subunit ribosomal RNA", at positions 28 to 507 of the family's 1533-position model. The record is from RNAcentral.